GACGAACGCUGGCGGCGUGCCUAAUACAUGCAAGUUGAGCGCUGAAGGUUGGUACUUGUACCAACUGGAUGAGCAGCGAACGGGUGAGUAACGCGUGGGGAAUCUGCCUUUGAGCGGGGGACAACAUUUGGAAACGAAUGCUAAUACCGCAUAAAAACUUUAAACACAAGUUUUAAGUUUGAAAGAUGCAAUUGCAUCACUCAAAGAUGAUCCCGCGUUGUAUUAGCUAGUUGGUGAGGUAAAGGCUCACCAAGGCGAUGAUACAUAGCCGACCUGAGAGGGUGAUCGGCCACAUUGGGACUGAGACACGGCCCAAACUCCUACGGGAGGCAGCAGUAGGGAAUCUUCGGCAAUGGACGAAAGUCUGACCGAGCAACGCCGCGUGUGUGAAGAAGGUUUUCGGAUCGUAAAACUCUAUUGGUAGAGAAGAACGUUGGUGAGAGUGGAAAGCUCAUCAAGUGACGGUAACUACCCAGAAAGGGACGGCUAACUACGUG
Molecule: ribosomal RNA, 497 nt
Filed under: uncultured bacterium
Lineage: Bacteria
Description: partial 16S ribosomal RNA
Rfam family: Bacterial small subunit ribosomal RNA
Source: RNAcentral